GUUAAGUUACUUGUUAAGCACAUUUUUACUCUUGAACUUAUUUAGGCUUGCCAUAACAAAGGGGUUGAAUAAUUAUUGACUGAAGACAUUUCAGAUUUUCAUUAAUUUGUCAAAUAAAAUAAACAAACAGAAUUCCAGUUAUGGGGUAUUGUGACAUUAUGGGGUGUUGAGUGUAGGCCAGUGAUGACAAAUCUCAAUUGAAUCCAUUUUAAAUUCAGGCUGUAACACAAAAUGUGGAAAAGGUAAAGGGGUGUGAAGACUUUCUGAAGGCAGUAUUUACAGGAGCUCUCUGCUUAGGCUACCAUGGCAACUACUUCUACUAACUACUACAGGGUACACUUCCUGCUUUGCUCCUCGUUUUGGCCACCAGUCCACCCAUUAUACCUUUGUUGACUUGAAUGGGGACGCCCGUUCUAUUCAUUCUAUUUCUAUGGCAGCAUAUGCAGUUAGGAGCGGAGGAGAGAACAAAAUGUGUAUCUGAAUGAAGCAAUAUGGGACCCAUCAGAGAUUGUUUCCAACCAUAGCGAUGGGAAGUGGUACACCUCAAAUGCUUAGUGGCAGGUGUGCCCUCUAUCCAUCUCUAUGAUUCCAACCUUGUAGUGCAUGAUGAUAGGUUGGUGGGAAGGGGCAGAGGUGGGACAGUAAGUCAGUAAAUCUUAAAGGGUAAAGGCGGGUUUUUGCUCCAGCCAACAGUCACACAAGAUUCUACAAAUUAAACCCAUGACUGAAGACUAGAUGAUCAGUAGAAUCACAUACUGUAUUUUACCGCUGAUACCACUGGAGUUUGAAUCAAAACGACCAACUAGCCAAACAACAGGGUGAGUGGAGUGAAACUAACUCCUCGUUAGAGCACACUGUAGCAAAACGUUUUGUGACGGAUGGCAAAAACAAGCAUUUCCGAUAGCACCUCCCCAAUUCAGUCCUUUUUCUUCUGUUUUGUGCCUAGUGAACACAACCCAAAUGUGGUGCAACAGCCAGCUAGCUGUCCUUCCAGACCUCCAUCCAUCCUUGGUGUCAGAAGAAGACUCUGUGGACUAUCACCAGGUCAUGUCGAGGGUCAUCUCCGACAGACACUUGGCCAGGUGGCUGUCACAGUCCAUCUGAGUGAACCUGGAGAGAUGGAUGGACAGCAUCA
Molecule: long non-coding RNA, 1135 nt
Organism: Oncorhynchus tshawytscha (Chinook salmon)
Lineage: Eukaryota; Metazoa; Chordata; Actinopteri; Salmoniformes; Salmonidae
Source: Ensembl